UACGAACUGGGCGAACGUUAUUCGGAAUCGCUGGGCUUACAGGGUGCGUAGGCGGCUUGUUAAGUAGGGUGUGAAAGCCCCCGGCUCAACCGGGGAAUGGCGCCCUAAACUGGCGAGCUAGAGUGAGAUAGGGGUGUGUGGAACUUCCGGUGGAGCGGUGAAAUGUGUUGAUAUCGGAAGGAACGCCGGUGGCGAAAGCGACACACUGGAUCUUGUCUGACGCUGAGGCACGAAAGCCAGGGGAGCGAACGGG
RNAcentral lists this ribosomal RNA (253 nucleotides) under uncultured bacterium. RNAcentral's name for it is "partial 16S ribosomal RNA". It matches the Rfam family "Bacterial small subunit ribosomal RNA", at positions 524 to 776 of the family's 1533-position model. The record is from RNAcentral.